AUGGCCAGUAACCUGAAAUUUGUUAUUGGGGCACUGAAAAUAUUAAUAGAAGAAGAUCAGGGAUGUAGAAAAGACUUCCAAGCUAUCUUUGAGCAGGCUAACAUUUUUCAAGACAAAUAUAAAGACAUGAACACAUACAAAGUGAAUAUGGAACAGAAACCUGAUGAAUCAAAUAAAGAAGGCACAUUUUUACCAUUGGCCCCAGAAGAAGAAUUAUUACUAGAACAAUUUAAAAUAAAACCUAAAGAGAUAAAAAAUGAAGAUUUAUCACCAGGGCAAUUAUUAGCCCAAGGGGAUUUCAAUUCAGGUGAGAAAAAUGAGGCCCGGAGAAGAUAUUCAGAUAGUUACCUUCCCAGCUGUGACUUCAUGGCUUCUGGCUCUAAAAUCAAGGCCAAAGAGACCCCAAUAAAAAAAGAAAAAGAAGAAGAUGAAAUAGUAGUGGAGGAAGAGAUUAUUAGCACUGGAAAACCUACAGAGGGAAAGGCUAAAAAGAGAUUUUCCUGGUUCCGCAAUAUCAAAGAACGCAAGCUGUGGAACUUCUUUCAUUUUAAAAAACAUGACAAACAAGUAAAGAAUGUGCACAAGUGGGAAGAAAUUGAUCAAGAGGUAUUGGAAGAUUACUCUCCUUAUUCUACUGAAGCCCCUAAAACAUUGCCAACAGAGUGGACAAAUAUUGAAGUUGGUAAUUGGUUAUGGAGCAUUGGAAUGGAGGAGUAUGUUGUAAAAUUUUAUUGUAAAGGAAUAAGUGGUGAAAAACUCCUUACACUGGACAAUCGCUCGCUAAAAGAAAUCGAAGUCAACAAGAAGAAAGACCGCCGGAAAAUACUUAAGGCUAUUAAGAAAGUUAGAGAUUUUUGGGAAAAAAAUCAUCAUUUCGUCUUAUUAUAGAAAUUGAUGGAAAGAAGACACAGAACCUGAAAGAUGGCAAAAAUGGAAAAUGCAAUUACUUUUGUUAUAUUGACUUUUCAUCAUUUUACUUCUGUUACUUUUGUUAUAUGAACUUUUAAGGGAUUUUACUUCCAUGUUACUUUUGUUAUAUGAACUUUUAAGGGAUUUUAGUUCCAUGUUACUUUUGUUAUAUGAACUUUUAAUCAUUUUAUUACUGUUACUUUUUUUAUUAUUAACUUUUAAUUAUUUCACUUUCAUGUUACAUUUGUUAUAUGAACUUUUAAGGGAUUUUACUUCCAUGUUAUUUUUGUUAUUAUUAACUUUUAAUCAUUUCACUUCCAUGUUACUUUUGUUAUAUGAACUUUUAAGUGAUUUUACUUCCAUGUUACUUUUGAUAUAUGAACUUUUAAGGGAUUUUACUUCCAUGUUACUUUUGUUAUAUGAACUUUUAAUCAUUUCACUUCCAUGUUACUUUUGUUAUAUAGAACUUUUAAGGGAUUUUACUUCCAUGUUAAUUUUGUUAUAUGAACUUUUAAUCAUUUUAUUACUGUUACUUUUGUUAUUAUUAACUUUUAAUCAUUUCACUUCUAUGUUUCUUUUGCUUUCUUAUUAACUUUUAAUUAUUUCAUUUUUAAGUAAGUAUUAUUUUGAUAGAGGAUAAUUUUUGCACAGGUUAAUAAUUGUUAAUAUCAUACAUAUAACAUAUGAAAAAAAUGGUUAUAAUAAGCACUUAUACUUUUUUAUAAGAACUAAUAUGGAAUUUCCCCCAUAUGAUCAUUUUGUAAGUAGCAAUCAUUCUAAUCUAACAAAAUUUUUAGUUAUUUUUCCUUUUCAACUUUUCAUUGCCACUGCCACCUGCUUUAAAGAAUCUGUCCCAAGUACUCUUUAUUAGUUCAUAAUCCCAGAGAACUCAAUAGGCUUUAGUCAAGCCCUCAUGAUGCUCUGUUACUUUUGUUUCAGAAUCUAUAUAUAAACAAAAGAAAUGCAUAUAAGAAUCUGUACAUAUUAUAGAUUUCCCUUAAGCAUACAUAUUGUUCAUGAGAUCUCCUUAUUACCUUACUUUUUUUUGUCAUAAUCCUCUCCAAAUCAUAUUUUAAGAGCUACAAAGUAUAGUUUUAUAUUCAUCACUCUCUUAUAGAAUUUAGUUUAAAUUUCUAUCAAAGUAUUUUAAAUAACAAUAAAAAUAACUUCAUAAAACUUUCCCCCUUAAAA
Molecule: long non-coding RNA, 2100 nt
Filed under: Monodelphis domestica (gray short-tailed opossum)
Lineage: Eukaryota; Metazoa; Chordata; Mammalia; Didelphimorphia; Didelphidae
Description: lncRNA (ENSMODG00000041578.1)
Source: RNAcentral